ACUGGAUCUUGCCCUUUGUGUUUACAUGGCAUUAAUUGAGUAACUAACUCUUGGUGAGACAGUUUUCCCUUACCAUAGGAGUUGACAAUUUUAAGGAAAUAAUGUAGGAAAUGGUUCAGAAAGGGUACCUAUAAGACCUACCCUGGCACCUAGGUAAACACUCACCAUCCUAUCUACCUUAACUGUCUCCAUAAAGCAUAAUUCCAGCUGGAUUUGUACAUCAUCAUCUUUGAAUACUUCUCUAUAGGUGACCAGAUGAAGGAAAAAUGCUACUAUCUACCAAAACACCUGUCAAGAACGAUGACUCUGCACUGUAUCUGGAGAAAAAGACAGCCAGAGCUAUAAGGGAGGCCCUGUCAAAGAAAAAGAAUAAGAGAAGGAAGAGGAGAAGAAAUGAAACAGGAGUAAAAAGAAGAAGAGGAGAAAGUGGAAGAGGAGGGAGAAAAGAAUAAAGAAAAAGAAACUAGGUAUGGUUAUUCUAUUUCUUAAGCACGUGUUACAUGCAGAGCCUUUUUCUAACUAUUAUUCUAUCAACUU
This 537-nucleotide long non-coding RNA is filed under the name Mus spicilegus (steppe mouse). RNAcentral's name for it is "lncRNA (ENSMSIG00000006889.1)". Lineage: Eukaryota; Metazoa; Chordata; Mammalia; Rodentia; Muridae. The record is from RNAcentral.